UACGUAGGGUGCAAGCGUUGUCCGGAAUUAUUGGGCGUAAAGAGCUCGUAGGCGGUUAGUCGCGUCUGCUGUGAAAACUCGGGGCUUAACUCCGGGCCUGCAGUGGGUACGGGCAGACUAGAGUGUGGUAGGGGAGACUGGAAUUCCUGGUGUAGCGGUGAAAUGCGCAGAUAUCAGGAGGAACACCGAUGGCGAAGGCAGGUCUCUGGGCCACUACUGACGCUGAGAAGCGAAAGCAUGGGGAGCGAACAGG
Molecule: ribosomal RNA, 253 nt
Filed under: uncultured bacterium
Lineage: Bacteria
Description: partial 16S ribosomal RNA
Rfam family: Bacterial small subunit ribosomal RNA
Source: RNAcentral